Molecule: ribosomal RNA, 253 nt
Filed under: uncultured bacterium
Lineage: Bacteria
Description: partial 16S ribosomal RNA
Rfam family: Bacterial small subunit ribosomal RNA
Source: RNAcentral
UACGUAGGUGACAAGCGUUGUCCGGAUUUACUGGGCGUAAAGAGCGCGCAGGCGGUCGAUCAAGUCGAGUGUGAAAGCCCCCGGCUCAACUGGGGAGGGUCAUUCGAUACUGAUCGACUCGAAGGCAGGAGAGGGUAGUGGAAUUCCCGGUGUAGUGGUGAAAUGCGUAGAUAUUGGGAAGAACACCAGCGGCGAAAGCGCGCGACUGGGCCAUUACUGACACUCAUGGACGAAAGCUAGGGGAGCGAAAGGG